GAUGAACGCUAGCGGCAGGCCUAAUACAUGCAAGUCGAACGAGAUUCAAGACUUCGGUUUUGAUGAAAGUGGCGCACGGGUGCGUAACGCGUAUGCAACCUACCCUUAACAGGGGGAUAGCCCGGAGAAAUUCGGAUUAAUACCCCAUAGUAUCACAAGAUGGCAUCUGAAAGUGAUUAAAGAUUUAUCGGUUAAGGAUGGGCAUGCGUAACAUUAGAUAGUUGGUGAGGUAACGGCUCACCAAGUCUACGAUGUUUAGGGGUUCUGAGAGGAUGAUCCCCCACACUGGUACUGAGAUACGGACCAGACUCCUACGGGAGGCAGCAGUAGGGAAUAUUGGUCAAUGGGCGAGAGCCUGAACCAGCCAUGCCGCGUGCAGGAAGACGGCCUUCUGGGUUGUAAACUGCUUUUAUAUGGGAAGAAAAAGGCCAUGCGUGGCAAAUUGCCGGUACCAUAUGAAUAAGCACCGGCUAACUCCG
This 479-nucleotide ribosomal RNA is filed under the name uncultured Roseivirga sp. RNAcentral describes it as "bacterial SSU rRNA". It matches the Rfam family "Bacterial small subunit ribosomal RNA", at positions 28 to 505 of the family's 1533-position model. Lineage: Bacteria; Pseudomonadati; Bacteroidota; Cytophagia; Cytophagales; Roseivirgaceae. The record is from RNAcentral.